This 82-nucleotide transfer RNA is filed under the name Buchnera aphidicola (Cinara tujafilina). Its description in RNAcentral is "tRNA-Leu (TAG) (tRNA-Leu-TAG-1-1)". It matches the Rfam family "tRNA". Rfam says of the family: Transfer RNA (tRNA) molecules are approximately 80 nucleotides in length. Their secondary structure includes four short double-helical elements and three loops (D, anti-codon, and T loops). The record is from Rfam by way of RNAcentral. Lineage: Bacteria; Pseudomonadati; Pseudomonadota; Gammaproteobacteria; Enterobacterales; Erwiniaceae.
GCGGAAGUGGCGAAAAUGGUAGACGCACCAGAUUUAGGUUCUGGCGCCGCAAGGCUUGCGAGUUCAAAUCUCGCUUUCCGCA